RNAcentral lists this long non-coding RNA (421 nucleotides) under Medicago truncatula (barrel medic). RNAcentral describes it as "long non-coding RNA (MTRU_LNC003897)". The record is from RNAcentral. Lineage: Eukaryota; Viridiplantae; Streptophyta; Magnoliopsida; Fabales; Fabaceae.
UAGUUUAGAAACUUCAUAAUAAUGACAAUAACUUGCUAUGGUCAUGUACUGCAUACAUUUUCAUAUAUACAUCUUAAUAGCAUUUCAAUUUUUCUAUAAGUGCUAGUCGAAAAGUUUAUUUCCAGUCGAAGAGCGCCAUGUUGAACAAGUUGAUCGGAAGCGAAUGAAAUCGAUUUCAUCGUCAAUUCGUUGUGAUAUCAGAUUGAGAAGCUCCGUUGGGAGUUUAGACCAGUCUACCGCAGCCAUAGAUGCUUAUAGCAGAAGCUACAAGCAAAACCUAUAAAGAAUUAGAAGCUAUAAGCAUAACAUUUAAGAAGACACAAAAACAGAAGCAACAAGCAAAACAUACGAACAGGAGCUAUAAGCAGAAGCCGAAACUAUAAAUAAGAGCUAUAAGCAGAACAUAUAAAGAGAAGGUAUA